Triticum dicoccoides is the source of this 932-nucleotide RNA transcript. RefSeq lists it as uncharacterized. The transcript has 4 exons. NCBI's taxonomy places the organism in Eukaryota, Viridiplantae, Streptophyta, Magnoliopsida, Poales, Poaceae. The record is from RefSeq and is a predicted model, not a curated record.
CCUAGACCUAAUUCCCCAUCUCCCGAUCUCCUCUCCACUCCCAGAUCCCAGCCGCCACCCCCACGACAAUGAGUAGCUGCCGUUGUUUGCCCGGCCGCCACCGCUAGCUCCCUGCCCCAGCUGCCCACCGCGUCGAUUCGCUGCUAACCCGCCCUGCACGCCGCGGCAGCGCCGUCCGCCCAUCCCAAGUGCUCGAGCUCCCAAUCGUCCAACGCCCUAGCUACCCCCUAUGGCAUUCUUGGAGCCCAUGUCCGCUGCCAACGGCACCGGAUCUGGUGACAGCGACGCCACAUCCACGGCCUCAUCUCCGCCGGCCAGUCUGCGUCUCCGACAUCCCGAGCAAGAGGUGCCUGGCCGGCGACCUGACUACGGGCUCCCACGACCGGCAACGACUCUGACGGUGGCACCUCCGUGGAGCAGCAAACUGACCCCCAAGCACGGACCACCUUCCUCUCCAGAUCGCAGCAGUGACUUGCCUUCUCUGCAGUAUGGACUGUAUCCAUAAAGAGCUCCAGGAGCUUGUUGCACUUGGUCACCGUAAGGUUAUAUUGGCUCCGUGGGUAGUUUCAUGUAUUGGGACGCUCUUCAACUUUACGCUCAUUUGCAUUCUUGUAGUCUCAUGGAUUUCUAUAAUAUUUGAAUACGCAGUGCUGAUGGACAGGAAGAACAAUGCCUGUCAUUCAGAUAAUUUGGUGUUCACUCGCUUGCGGAGAUUGGCAUAGGGAACAAGUCUUUUGGUUCAGCUCAAAACAUUAUGAUUUUGGACUAGAUAUCAACUACUCUUUGUUCUUACCGUGACUUGGCCAUAUGAUAUGGUUGCAAGCGAUUCUAGUUGUUGUUUCCGUCCCAUUAAUGUAAAUGUGACUUACAGUUACAUUGUUUUUAUCCAUUUUGUGAUUGAAAUGCAGUUAGUUAAUUUUGUGAACCUAGAA